AUACGUAGGGGGCGAGCGUUGUCCGGAAUGAUUGGGCGUAAAGGGCGCGUAGGCGGCCCGGUAAGUCUGGAGUGAAAGUCCUGUUUUUAAGAUGGGAAUUGCUUUGGAUACUGUCGGGCUUGAGUGCAGGAGAGGUAAGUGGAAUUCCCAGUGUAGCGGUGAAAUGCGUAGAGAUUGGGAGGAACACCAGUGGCGAAGGCGACUUACUGGACUGUAACUGACGCUGAGGCGCGAAAGUGUGGGGAGCAAACAGGAUUAGAUACCCUGGUAGUGCACACUGUAAACGAUGAAUGCUAGGUGUAGGGGGUAUCGACCCCUUCUGUGCCGCAGUCAACACAAUAAGCAUUCCGCCUGGGGAGUACGGCCGCAAGGUUGAAACUCAAAUGAAUUGACGGGG
RNAcentral lists this ribosomal RNA (397 nucleotides) under uncultured bacterium. Its description in RNAcentral is "partial 16S ribosomal RNA". It matches the Rfam family "Bacterial small subunit ribosomal RNA", at positions 523 to 918 of the family's 1533-position model. The record is from RNAcentral.